UAGGGAAUCUUCCGCAAUGGACGCAAGUCUGACGGAGCAACGCCGCGUGAGUGAAGAAGGUUUUCGGAUCGUAAAACUCUGUUGUAAGAGAAGAACAAAUUGUAGAGUAACUGCUACAGUCUUGACGGUAUCUUACCAGAAAGCCACGGCUAACUACGUGCCAGCAGCCGCGGUAAUACGUAGGUGGCAAGCGUUUUCCGGAUUUAUUGGGCGUAAAGGGGGCGCAGGCUGCUUCUUAAGUCUGAUGUGAAAGCCCACGGCUUAACCGUGGAAGUGCAUUGGAAACUGGGAAGCUUGAGUACAGAAGAGGAAAGGGGAACUCCAUGUGUAGCUGUGGAAUGCGUAGAGAUAUGGAAGAACACCAGUGGCGAAAGCGACUUUCUGGUCUGUCACUGACGCUGAGGCCCGAAAGCGUGGGUAGCAAACAGG
This 429-nucleotide ribosomal RNA is filed under the name Verrucomicrobiota bacterium. Its description in RNAcentral is "Verrucomicrobia bacterium partial 16S ribosomal RNA". It matches the Rfam family "Bacterial small subunit ribosomal RNA", at positions 355 to 776 of the family's 1533-position model. The record is from RNAcentral. Lineage: Bacteria; Pseudomonadati; Verrucomicrobiota.